Molecule: ribosomal RNA, 484 nt
Filed under: uncultured bacterium
Lineage: Bacteria
Description: partial 16S ribosomal RNA
Rfam family: Bacterial small subunit ribosomal RNA
Source: RNAcentral
AUUGAACGCUGGCGGCAGGCCUAACACAUGCAAGUCGAGCGGAUGAAGGGAGCUUGCUCCUGGAUUCAGCGUCGGACGGGUGAGUAAUGCCUAUGAAUCUGCCUGGUAGUGGGGGAUAACGUCCGGAAACGGGCGCUAAUACCGCAUACUUCCUGAUGGAGAAAGUGGGGGAUCUUCGGACCUCACGCUAUCAGAUGAGCCUAGGUCGGAUUAGCUAGUUGGUGGGGUAAAGGCCUACCAAGGCGACGAUCCGUAACUGGUCUGAGAGGAUGAUCAGUCACACUGGAACUGAGACACGGUCCAGACUCCUACGGGAGGCAGCAGUGGGGAAUAUUGGACAAUGGGCGAAAGCCUGAUCCAGCCAUGCCGAGUGUGUGAAGAAGGUCUUCGGAUUGUAAAGAACUUUAAGUUGGGAGGAAGGGCAGUCAGUUAAUACCUUGCUGUUUUGACGUUACCAACAGAAUAAGCACCGGCUAACUUCGUG